RNAcentral lists this transfer RNA (65 nucleotides) under Empoascanara angkhangica. RNAcentral describes it as "tRNA-Leu". Lineage: Eukaryota; Metazoa; Arthropoda; Insecta; Hemiptera; Cicadellidae. The record is from RNAcentral.
AUUAGAUUGGCAGAAUUAUGUAUUAAAUUUAGAAUUUAAUUAAGUGUUUAAAAUCACAUCUAAUA